GGUGGGGUACCGAAGCGGCCGAACGGGCUCGCCUCGAAAGCGAGUGAGGGUUCGCGCCCUCCGUGGGUUCAAAUCCCACCCCCACCG
RNAcentral lists this transfer RNA (87 nucleotides) under Actinomycetota bacterium. RNAcentral's name for it is "tRNA-Ser". It matches the Rfam family "tRNA". Rfam says of the family: Transfer RNA (tRNA) molecules are approximately 80 nucleotides in length. Their secondary structure includes four short double-helical elements and three loops (D, anti-codon, and T loops). Further hydrogen bonds mediate the characteristic L-shaped molecular structure. tRNAs have two regions of fundamental functional importance: the anti-codon, which is responsible for specific mRNA codon recognition, and the 3' end, to which the tRNAs corresponding amino acid is attached (by aminoacyl-tRNA synthetases). tRNAs cope with the degeneracy of the genetic code in two manners: having more than one tRNA (with a specific anti-codon) for a particular amino acid; and 'wobble' base-pairing, i.e. permitting non-standard base-pairing at the 3rd anti-codon position. The record is from RNAcentral. RNAcentral also lists the same sequence under 1 other name. Lineage: Bacteria; Bacillati; Actinomycetota.